Molecule: ribosomal RNA, 497 nt
Filed under: uncultured bacterium
Lineage: Bacteria
Description: partial 16S ribosomal RNA
Rfam family: Bacterial small subunit ribosomal RNA
Source: RNAcentral
GAUGGACGCUGGCGGCGUGCCUAAUACAUGCAAGUCGAGCGAACAGACGAUGAGCUUGCUCCUCUGACGUUAGCGGCGGACGUGUGAGUAACACGUGGAUAACCUACCUAUAAGACUGGGAUCACUUCGGGAAACCGGCUCUAAUACCGUAUAACAUCUUGAACCGCAUGGUUCAACAGUGAAAGACGGUCUUGCUGUCACUUAUAGAUGCAUCCGCGCUGCAUUAGCUAGUUGGUAAGGUAACGGCUUACCAAGGCAACGAUGCGUAGCCGACCUGAGAGGGUGAUAGGCCACACGGGAACGGAGACACGGUCAAGACGCCUACGGGAGGCAGCAGUAGGGAAUGGGCCGCAAAGGGCGAAAGCCUGACGGAGCAACGGCGCGUGAGUGAAGAAGGUCUUCGGAUCGGAAAAAUCGGUUAUUAGGGAAGAACAGAUGUGGAAGUAACUAUGCACGGCUUGACGGUACCGAAUCAGAAAGCAACGGCUAACUACGUG